This 295-nucleotide long non-coding RNA is filed under the name Scleropages formosus (Asian bonytongue). Its description in RNAcentral is "lncRNA (ENSSFOG00015031248.1)". The record is from RNAcentral. Lineage: Eukaryota; Metazoa; Chordata; Actinopteri; Osteoglossiformes; Osteoglossidae.
GUACGAGUGGCCGCGCGGGUCAGCAGCGUUACUCUGCACACAGCGCGUGCACUGUACUGUACGUCUGGCGCGCGGAACUAGUGGCCAAGAGCGCUGCUAGCGCUCGUAUUUUUCUGCUACAUGUUCAACGUUAUUAAAACCAUUCGACGAUUAAAAUUCACUGCUUCUGGGCACACUGUGACCCAAAUUAACUUUGUUAUCCUUUUUCUAUACGGGGCCAAGACGAAGUCACAUAAAUACACGCACUGAUGGGCGAAGAGGGUAACCCGCGGUGAUGGCGGACCACUCCAGUAUG